This 245-nucleotide ribosomal RNA is filed under the name uncultured bacterium. RNAcentral's name for it is "partial small subunit ribosomal RNA". It matches the Rfam family "Bacterial small subunit ribosomal RNA", at positions 26 to 285 of the family's 1533-position model. The record is from RNAcentral.
AGAAUCAACGCUGGCGGCGUGCCUAACACAUGCAAGUCGAACGAGAAAGUGGAGCAAUCCAUGAGUAAAGUGGCGCACGGGUGAGUAACACGUGACUAACCUACCCUUGAGUGGGGGAUAACCUAGAGAAAUCUGGGCUAAUACCGCAUAAUACCUUCGGGUCAAAGGAGCAAUUCGCUUAAAGAGGGGGUCGCGGCCGAUUAGUUAGUUGGCGGGGUAAUGGCCCACCAAGACUGUGAUCGGUA